RNAcentral lists this unclassified non-coding RNA (187 nucleotides) under Glomeraceae sp. RNAcentral describes it as "partial contains 5.8S ribosomal RNA and internal transcribed spacer 2". The stretch from base 1 to 65 matches the Rfam family "5.8S ribosomal RNA", at positions 84 to 154 of the family's 154-position model. Lineage: Eukaryota; Fungi; Glomeromycota; Glomeromycetes; Glomerales; Glomeraceae. The record is from RNAcentral.
GUGAAUCAUCGAAUUUUUGAACGCAAAUUGCACUCUCCUCGGAGAGUGUGCCUGUUUGAGGGUCAGCCUAUAAAAAAUCGACAUCGUUGCUGUUUCGCGGUGGCGUUCGUCGGAAAUUGGGUCAUCUUAAAUCCUUUUGAUUUAGCGGCUUUAAAUUUUUCUUUUGUUCCAUUAAACGUUUUUAUGU